Molecule: transfer RNA, 61 nt
Filed under: Uroplatus sikorae
Lineage: Eukaryota; Metazoa; Chordata; Lepidosauria; Squamata; Gekkonidae
Description: tRNA-Ser
Source: RNAcentral
GAGGCGGACAAAUGACCUGCUAACUCCAUAUAUCCGAAGAUAACGCUUCGGCCGCCUCCCC